GGAGGGUUUCCCGAGCGGUCAAAGGGGGCAGACUGUAAAUCUGCUGGCUUCGCCUUCAGAAGUUCGAAUCUUCUACCCUCCACCA
RNAcentral lists this transfer RNA (85 nucleotides) under Thiomicrospira sp. WB1. RNAcentral describes it as "tRNA-Tyr". It matches the Rfam family "tRNA". From Rfam's summary of the family: Transfer RNA (tRNA) molecules are approximately 80 nucleotides in length. Their secondary structure includes four short double-helical elements and three loops (D, anti-codon, and T loops). Lineage: Bacteria; Pseudomonadati; Pseudomonadota; Gammaproteobacteria; Thiotrichales; Piscirickettsiaceae. The record is from RNAcentral.